RNAcentral lists this ribosomal RNA (322 nucleotides) under uncultured Allapsidae. RNAcentral describes it as "SSU rRNA". It matches the Rfam family "Eukaryotic small subunit ribosomal RNA", at positions 634 to 955 of the family's 1831-position model. Lineage: Eukaryota; Cercozoa; Glissomonadida; Viridiraptoridae. The record is from RNAcentral.
GAUUUCUGGCUUGAAACAUCCGGCCGGCCACGGUUUCGUGUGUUAGUGCUUGAUGUUCUGGCCAUCCUUCCAAUGGCUAUCUGCCUUUCUUCAUUGAAUGGCAGGUGGUAUUGGAUCUUUUACUUUGAAAAAAUUAGAGUGUUUCAAGCAGGCUUUAUGCUAUGAAUACAUUAGCAUGGAAUAAUAAUUUAGGACUUCGGUUCUAUUUUGUUGGUUUCUAGGACUGAAGUAAUGAUUGAUAGGGAUAGUUGGGGGUGCUAGUAUUCAGCGGCCAGAGGUGAAAUUCUCGGAUUCGCUGAAGACUAACUUAUGCGAAAGCAUU